UACGGGGGGGGCAAGCGUUGUUCGGAAUUACUGGGCGUAAAGGGCGCGUAGGCGGCCUGCUAAGUCGAACGUGAAAUCCCUGGGCUCAACCCGGGAACUGCGUCCGAUACUGGUUGGCUUGAAUCCGGGAGAGGGAUGUGGAAUUCCAGGUGUAGCGGUGAAAUGCGUAGAUAUCUGGAGGAACACCGGUGGCGAAGGCGACAUCCUGGACCGGUAUUGACGCUGAGGCGCGAAAGCCAGGGGAGCAAACGGG
RNAcentral lists this ribosomal RNA (253 nucleotides) under uncultured bacterium. RNAcentral's name for it is "partial 16S ribosomal RNA". It matches the Rfam family "Bacterial small subunit ribosomal RNA", at positions 524 to 776 of the family's 1533-position model. The record is from RNAcentral.